Unclassified non-coding RNA from Otolemur garnettii (small-eared galago), 102 nucleotides. It matches the Rfam family "Y RNA". Rfam says of the family: Y RNAs are components of the Ro ribonucleoprotein particle (Ro RNP), in association with Ro60 and La proteins. The Y RNAs and Ro60 and La proteins are well conserved, but the function of the Ro RNP is not known. In humans the RNA component can be one of four small RNAs -- hY1, hY3, hY4 and hY5. Lineage: Eukaryota; Metazoa; Chordata; Mammalia; Primates; Galagidae. The record is from Ensembl.
GGCUGGUUCAAGUGCAGUGGUGUUUACACCUAAUUGAUCACAACCAGUUAUAGAUACCUUUCUUCCUUUUAUAGUCCCACUGCUUCACUUGACUAGCCUUUU